GGGAAAUUUGCAAAACCUAAGAGAAAGCGUGAUUUGACUUCUCCAAUCAUCAAGUAUAAGUUCCUUGAGUGUUUUGCAGGAUGUACUGGGCCUCAAGAAAAGGAAAGUGCCGUUCAACACAUUGUUGUUGACAAUGAAUCAAUUGAUGUUGACAUGGGAUUUGCAGUAUAUCCUAGUGCUCAAGAAAAGGAAAGUGCCAAUGAAACCAUCAUUAUUGACAACGAACCAAUUGAUGUUGAAAUGAUAUUUGCUGAAGGGAUCAAGGCUCCAUGCAAGGAAAUUAGUGAUGAAUCAGUAGC
This 299-nucleotide unclassified non-coding RNA is filed under the name Hevea brasiliensis (rubber tree). The record is from RNAcentral. Lineage: Eukaryota; Viridiplantae; Streptophyta; Magnoliopsida; Malpighiales; Euphorbiaceae.